RNAcentral lists this ribosomal RNA (460 nucleotides) under uncultured bacterium. Its description in RNAcentral is "bacterial LSU rRNA". It matches the Rfam family "Bacterial large subunit ribosomal RNA", at positions 1397 to 1960 of the family's 2925-position model. The record is from RNAcentral.
CGAGGCCGAGAGGCGUAGUUGAUGGGAAGCAGUGAUACAAUAUUCCUGCCCCGCCAUGACAUAAAAGUGACGGCAGAUGUCAGCUGAUCGCGGUUAAUGGCUAUCCGUUGAUUGGUUAAAAUCUGCCGAGAAAAGCGAGUCAUGGCGAUCGUACCGCAAACCGACACAGGUGGACGGGUAGAAGAUACUAAGGCGCGCGAGUGAGCCGUGCUUAAGGAACUCGGCAAAAUUGACCCCGUAACUUCGGGAGAAGGGGUGCCGCAGCAAUGCGGCCGCAGAGAAAUGGCCCAAGCGACUGUUUACCACAAACACAUCACUCUGCUAACACGUCAAGUGGACGUAUAGGGUGUGACACCUGCCCCGGUGCUGGAAGGUUAAGAGGAGAGGUCAGCCGCAAGGUGAAGCUUUGAAUCGAAGCCCCAGUAAACGGCGGCCGUAACUAUAACGGUCCUAAGGUAGC